Molecule: ribosomal RNA, 301 nt
Filed under: uncultured bacterium
Lineage: Bacteria
Description: partial 16S ribosomal RNA
Rfam family: Bacterial small subunit ribosomal RNA
Source: RNAcentral
CAGCCGCCGCGGUAAUACGAGGGGUGCAAGCGUUAUUCGGAUUGAUUGGGUGUAAAGGGCGUGCAGACGGCUUAUUAAGUCACUUGUUAAAUUCUUCGGCCUAACUGAAGGUCUGCAAGUGAUACUGAUGAGCUAGAGGGUGGAAGAGAGAAGUGGAAUUCUCGGAGUAGCGGUAAAAUGCGUAGAUCUCGAGAGGAACACCAAUGGCGAAGGCAGCUUCUUGGUCCAUUCCUGACGUUCAUACACGAAAGCGUGGGGAGCAAACAGGAUUAGAUACCCCAGUAGUCCCUGUCUCUUAUAC